MicroRNA precursor from Gossypium arboreum, 146 nucleotides. It matches the Rfam family "MIR7502 microRNA precursor family". The record is from Rfam. NCBI's taxonomy places the organism in Eukaryota, Viridiplantae, Streptophyta, Magnoliopsida, Malvales, Malvaceae.
AGUUUAAAAUUUCAUCCAUUUGUACGGUUAAAAACUGGUAUGGCUAAUAGAAUAAUCAAACAGUGACACAUGGCAUGCAUGUUUACCUCAUGCUGACGUACAGAGAUCAGUUUCUAACAGUGAAAAUUGAAAAUAAAAAUUUAACA